Molecule: long non-coding RNA, 4178 nt
Organism: Heterocephalus glaber (naked mole-rat)
Lineage: Eukaryota; Metazoa; Chordata; Mammalia; Rodentia; Bathyergidae
Source: Ensembl
UCGGGCCACAGCAAGCAGUGACAAGACAGCUGCAGUCACUCAUGGGGAGAGACUACACAAAGAAUCAUAUACCUUUUUUUUUUUUUUACCGUUUUAAAAAAUAGAUGUAAAUUUCACAUAACGUCUGAUUUACCAUCGUAGACAUUUUUUUGUUUGAUUUGUUUUGUUUUUUGAGACAGGGUCUCACUAUGUAGUUCAGGCUGGCCUGGAACUCAUGGUGAUCCUCCUGCCUCAGCCUCCCAAGUGCUGGGAUGACAGCUGCAGGCCACCAUGCUCCUGGCUGCCUUGGGAAGUUUGAUAGGGGAACAGGGAAGACAGACACAGCUUGUGCUGAAGCAAAUAGUGCCUGCCCCGGUGGGCAUCAAAGUCCUUGUGUACAAGUCCUGAGGCCCAGGGUGGGGGCACUGGGCUCUGGGGACAGCAGGCUGGAAGGGAAAUCACUUGAUUUCCUAUGCUACUUCCCACCUUGCCAGCAGUUUUGCUAAAAUGCCAUAGUCUCAUCUCAAAAGCUCAUCUAUGACAGUUGGUGACUCGGAGGCUCACAGAUGGGAUGCACCCCCUGCCCCAGGGCUGAGCUGGGAAGAGGGAUGGGAAGAUGAAUUGCCGCUGCCUGGAAGGGUUUUCUGGGUGGAAGGGUCCAUCGUGGGGAAAGGCUCAGGGGUCCUCCAUGUCUGGGGAUGGACAGCAGAUGGGCUAGGAAGGCUUGGUGGAGAAUAUGAUGCUGAGGUCCAUGAGGGCUAAUGACAGAGGUUCUUUUGUUAUUAAGCAUCUACUGUGUGCCAGAUCCCAUCCUGGCCCUCCUGAGGCCAAAGUCUAGGAGGAAAGUGAACAAAAAACAAAAAGAACCCCACCUCAUCAAUUCCAGAAUUCAUGAGGUUGUAAUCUAAGUGGUAUUUGGCAAAUCUGGACAUUAUCUUGAGAGCAAUAGGGAGCUGUACAAGGGCUUAGAGUGAGGGGAGGCCUGCUCAGAUUCAGAUGUGAGAAAGAUACCCAGGGCGAACUCCAUGAUGCUGUUGGGGGGGGGGUGUUUGUAAAUUGCCCCACUGGGAGGCUACUUGGGCAAGCUGAUCUUCUUACCAAGUACUGAUUAAGCACCUUGUAUCUACCAAGCAUUGCUUUACCAACCUGUGUUAUGCAAGCAUACAUAAAAUGAUAGAUUUCACUGUUGGGCCAUACUAAGCUACCUUCUGAGGUCUCAUCUCUGCAGUUACAGCACCGGCCUGUGCAUUGCACUCAGGGGACUCGCUUCUCCUGCCACAACUCGUGAGAAGCAGAUGACCAGUACUCGGAGGAGAGUGCUGGCCUAGCACUCUCAAGGGCCUGCGUUCUGUCCCCAGCAUGGAAGAAUAAUAAGGUGGGGACUGGUAACUUGGGGCCCAGAGAGUGCCUGGCUGGAGGGUGCACACCAGAAAUCCAACCGAGACUGCCGGUUGUGGACUAAAAGGAUUCCAUGGACGCAAAAAGGCUAAAAAAUGUAUUAGAUUGAGAUUCAAGGGCCAAGGAUUUAGCUCAGUGGUUCCGCUGCCUGCUGCGCAAGAGCAAGGACCCAAGUUCGAUCCCUGGUACCAAAAAAAAAAAAAAAACGAUUGAGAUUCAAGGUAUCGUGUGUAAUAGAGCAAUCUGAGCUUUUAAAUGUUAUUUAACAUUUUUAAUUGUGUGGCUUUCAAACACAGCAAUCCCAGCUCUGGGGGUCUCUGUAAAAGUAAGUAAAGCUGCCGGAUAAGGUGGUGCAUACCCGUGACCCCAGGACUCUGGGAGGCUGAGGCCGGAGGAUCACAAGUUGGGAGUCCAACCUGGGCUAUUUAGCAAUUUAGCAAGACUCUGGCUCAAAAUAAAAAAUAAGUCGGGCGUGGUGGUGCACGCCUGUAAUUCCAGCAUUUGGGAGGCUGAGGCAGGAGGAUUGGUGCAAGUUCAAGGCCAGCCUGAACUACAUAGUGAGACCUAGUGUGGGGAUCGGUGUCAGCCAAAAAGCUUCAUUUUAAUUUUACCCUCUGUUAUAAAUAGCCAGGAGACUAUGUAAUGGGGAACCAUGUCUCCGCUAACUCCGAUGUUUCCCUUUAGAGAUUGCCCUAGCAACAAGAUGAACCUUCUGUAACCCCAGGAAACAAAGUAGCCCAUGAGGGCGAGGAGUGUCUAGAAAACUAGCAAACAAGGAAGCAGGUGUUUUUUUGUAUAAAGGUCAUGAUUAAUGACCUAACUCACUGAGGGUAUAAAAGAGAGGUGUAAAUAAACUUGCUUGCUCGGUCUUGGGAGCCCUCCCGACUCUGUCUCUUCUCUUGAUUUUUCUCAGUCGUCCUUUCCCCCAUUCAGGAACUGUUCGACUGGUGACUGCUGGUCCGUCACAACCUAGUCUCAAAAAAAUUUUUUUAAUUUAAAAAAAGGGCUUGGCUUGGUGUGUAGCCCAGUGCGAAGGCCCUGGGUUCCAUCCCCAGUCUAAAAAAAAGAAAGAAAAAGCAUGAUGUUUAAGUUCAGAACUAGACCUCUCAGGGUUUGAAACCUAGUCACCACUUUCUUAGCAGUGUGCCUUCAAACCAAUAGUUGACUCCUCUGAGGCUCCGUUUUCCCUUCUAGACAAUGAGACUAACAGACCAAUCGCUUCUCAAGGUUGCUAUGGGGGAGUGCACACGUUAAUAUUUACUGUGAAGCCCUUCCUGCCGGGGAGGAAUCUUUAGAAGAGGGGAGUUCAACCGACUUUUGAAAAUUCAACUUUUCAAAGGAUUCGCCCAAGGCUGCCAGCAGGGGGCAGCAGAGAACCACGCCUGUGCUUCGCCGCGGAGCCUUCGCUCGAAAUGGUCGAGCAUUUAGGGAAUGCCAGUUGUAUCCCGAGCGCUGCGCUGAGGGAUUGGGGAUCUAAGAGCCUACGGGAGCAAGGUGGAAAGGGUUAUCUACAUAUUCAUGAGUUCAUCAACCAAUCCACAGCCUGAACUCCGGUCUUUAGCGCCUAGGCGAUUGUGAUGUCACAGGGACGCCUCUUGUGAUCCUUAAAGACGCAGUAACCUCUCCCGAAGAAGGAAGGUUGCAACCACAACUGCAGGAUUCGCUUCGGAGUUUGAAGUGUGCUCCGGCCCAGGACCCAGGGGCUUGAGUGCGGAAGAGCAGUGAGCGGAGGGCGCACUGGGAACCAUUUAAACUGCAGGCCCCGCCCAGCCUGUGGUGGCGCGGACUUUUUGUUCCCUCCUCUCCCUCCAGGUGGUCUAGCCCAUCAUAGCCCACCUGGACCUGUCCCCUCGCCUCUGCCCUCGUCUCUGCCCUCGUCUCUGGACUCUCUCCGUCACAACAAAAUCUGCAGAGACAUCACUGGAUCUGUGUACGGAUGGGGAAAUCGGGGCUCGAAGAUAAACCCAGUGAGAUGGGAGACGCGAGUUGUGCACUCCUUAGGGACGCUUUCCAGGGAGAAGUGUCAUUUGAGUAGGGCUUCAAAGGAAGGGGGUGCCGGUCAAGGAUCAGCAGAAGGCGUUGUUUCUAGUGACAGGAGGAGCACUGGCCGAGGUCCAGACUGGUGGCCCAAAGAAGCUAGUUGUGAAAGCUCAUACCUGUCGUCUCACUCAGGAAGCUGAGGCAGGAGGAUCAUGAGUUCCAGUCCAGCCUGGGCUGGGGAUUUAGCUCAGUGGUUUCACCGCCUGCCUCGCAAGCGCAAGGUCCUGAGUUCAAUCCCCGGUACCUAAAAAAUAAAAAAUGAAUAGGGCUGGAGUCGUAGCUCAGUGUUUGAGCAGCCCUCAGUUCAAUCUCAACUAAUGCAAAAAAAAGGGGGAAGAAGAUUUUUAAAUUUAUUGUACUUUAUUUAGCCCAUGUUGGGGCCGGGGAUUUAGCUGAGUGGUUCUGCUGCUUGCCUUGCAGGCGCAAGGUACCGAGUUCGAUCCCCAGUACCAAAAAAAAGAAGUAUUUAGCCCAUGUUUGCAGUACGAAACAACCGCAUUCAUCCUGGGGAGUCAGCCCAUGGACAUAACCCAUCUUAACUCUUUUUUUGCUCCCUUCCCCUCCCUCUAUCUCUUGAUCCCUUUUCUUUUUCCUUUUUUUUUUGGUACCAGGGAUCGAACUCGGGUCCUUGCGCUUGCGCAGCAGGCGGCGAAACCACUGAGCUAAAUCCCCAGCUCCUUGAUCCCUUUUCCUGUUGCAAAAGAUCUAUCUCCCUCUUUCCUAUAUCUACUUUUUAUUUUGCUCUUUCUUUAUGUUCCGAG